Molecule: ribosomal RNA, 253 nt
Filed under: uncultured bacterium
Lineage: Bacteria
Description: partial 16S ribosomal RNA
Rfam family: Bacterial small subunit ribosomal RNA
Source: RNAcentral
UACGUAGGGUGCAAGCGUUGUCCGGAAUUAUUGGGCGUAAAGAGCUCGUAGGCGGUCUGUCGCGUCGGAUGUGAAAACCCAGGGCUCAACCCUGGGCCUGCAUUCGAUACGGGCAGACUAGAGUUCGGUAGGGGAGACUGGAAUUCCUGGUGUAGCGGUGAAAUGCGCAGAUAUCAGGAGGAACACCGGUGGCGAAGGCGGGUCUCUGGGCCACUACUGACGCUGAGAAGCGAAAGCAUGGGGAGCGAACAGG